UUGAAUACUUGUAGAAUGGAUCUUCAUCCAAUUAUUCUGCUCUGUGCCUUAGCUGUUGCUGUUUUUGGAAUUAAACCAAACAAAACAUAUGUUCAUGCUGAGGAACAUUCAAGUGUUACUUUAUCCUGUAGUUUUUCUGCUUCUGGAGCUUCAGGUAACCUCUACUGGUACCGUCAGUAUGGGAGAUCAAAACCUGAAUUUCUUGUACUCACCUACGACACUGUAAAAGAAGCUCAGCGCUCUGAUGUAGAUCCAAGAUUCUCUGUUAUCAUUCCAAAAAAGGAACAUGUGGAUCUGAUCAUCUCCUCUGCUGCUGUAUCAGACUCUGCUCUGUAUUACUGUGCUCUGAGGCCCACAGUGACAGGAAACACAUCAGCUCUCUACAAAAACCUGGUACGAUGA
Molecule: non-coding RNA, 402 nt
Organism: Puntigrus tetrazona (Sumatra barb)
Lineage: Eukaryota; Metazoa; Chordata; Actinopteri; Cypriniformes; Cyprinidae
Source: the annotation of a RefSeq genome assembly